GAUGAACGCUGGCGGCGUGCCUAAUACAUGCAAGUCGAGCGAACGGACGAGAAGCUUGCUUCUCUGACGUUAGCGGCGGACGGGUGAGUAACACGUGGAUAACCUACCUAUAAGACUGGGAUAACUUCGGGAAACCGGAGCUAAUACCGGAUAAUAUUUUGAACCGCAUGGUUCAAUAGUGAAAGACGGUCUUGCUGUCACUUAUAGAUGGAUCCGCGCCGCAUUAGCUAGUUGGUAAGGUAACGGCUUACCAAGGCAACGAUGCAUAGCCGACCUGAGAGGGUGAUCGGCCACACUGGAACUGAGACACGGUCCAGACUCCUACGGGAGGCAGCAGUAGGGAAUCUUCCGCAAUGGGCGAAAGCCUGACGGAGCAACGCCGCGUGAGUGAUGAAGGUCUUCGGAUCGUAAAACUCUGUUAUUAGGGAAGAACAUAUGUGUAAGUAACUAUGCACAUCUUGACGGUACCUAAUCAGAAAGCCACGGCUAACUACGUG
Molecule: ribosomal RNA, 497 nt
Filed under: uncultured bacterium
Lineage: Bacteria
Description: partial 16S ribosomal RNA
Rfam family: Bacterial small subunit ribosomal RNA
Source: RNAcentral